UUUACAGUUUGAUGCUCUUAUUGCUGCCCUGCCUUUGGAAGGCGGCGAAGAGGCACAGGUGAAGAGAAUAGCUGAGCUCCAGGCUGAGAAUGAAGUAGUAGGACUUGAACUUCAGAAACAGCUCGAGGCUGCAGAGCAGGAACUGAAACUGGUUCAGGCUUUGUUUUGUCAAGCUUCAGACAACUGUUUGAAUCUGAAGAAAGCAGAUUGAUUUUCUCUACUGUAAGUAAAUACCUGACUCCUUUGGUGCAGAGCCUCAUAAUUCAUGUCUCUUUGCUUAUAUGAUUGUAAUAUUUGAAUGUUUAAAUUAUAUUUGCUUCUAUAUCUAUAAUUACUUAUUUUA
Phalaenopsis equestris is the source of this 343-nucleotide long non-coding RNA. RefSeq lists it as uncharacterized. The record is from RefSeq and is a predicted model, not a curated record. The transcript is spliced from 3 exons. Lineage: Eukaryota; Viridiplantae; Streptophyta; Magnoliopsida; Asparagales; Orchidaceae.